Non-coding RNA from Corynebacterium atypicum, 134 nucleotides. The record is from Rfam. NCBI's taxonomy places the organism in Bacteria, Bacillati, Actinomycetota, Actinomycetes, Mycobacteriales, Corynebacteriaceae.
CUGCGACCGCUUCGCUGAUGUGCGACGGAGUCCGUAGCGGCCGCAGUUGAAUUGGCACGACCUCCAUCGCACCGCGCGGAGCCGCCGGCCGCCGCGCGGCCCCUAGAACGGGAGAGAACGCUGAGCGUUACGAU